UCUCAUUAAGAAACAAAACAA
Molecule: non-coding RNA, 21 nt
Filed under: Caenorhabditis elegans
Lineage: Eukaryota; Metazoa; Nematoda; Chromadorea; Rhabditida; Rhabditidae
Source: RNAcentral